RNAcentral lists this transfer RNA (75 nucleotides) under Campylobacteraceae bacterium. RNAcentral's name for it is "tRNA-Gln". It matches the Rfam family "tRNA". Rfam says of the family: Transfer RNA (tRNA) molecules are approximately 80 nucleotides in length. Their secondary structure includes four short double-helical elements and three loops (D, anti-codon, and T loops). Lineage: Bacteria; Pseudomonadati; Campylobacterota; Epsilonproteobacteria; Campylobacterales; Campylobacteraceae. The record is from RNAcentral.
UGGGGUGUAGCCAAGUGGUAAGGCAACUGGUUUUGGUCCAGUCAUUCGGGGGUUCGAAUCCCUCCUCCCCAUCCA